This 253-nucleotide ribosomal RNA is filed under the name uncultured bacterium. RNAcentral's name for it is "partial 16S ribosomal RNA". It matches the Rfam family "Bacterial small subunit ribosomal RNA", at positions 524 to 776 of the family's 1533-position model. The record is from RNAcentral.
UACGUAGGGUGCAAGCGUUAAUCGGGAUUACUGGGCGUAAAGCGUGCGCAGGCGGUUAUGUAAGACAGAUGUGAAAUCCCCGGGCUCAACCUGGGAACUGCAUUUGUGACUGCAUAGCUAGAGUACGGUAGAGGGGGAUGGAAUUCCGCGUGUAGCAGUGAAAUGCGUAGAUAUGCGGAGGAACACCGAUGGCGAAGGCAAUCCCCUGGACCUGUACUGACGCUCAUGCACGAAAGCGUGGGGAGCAAACAGG